Eleginops maclovinus (Patagonian blennie) is the source of this 1880-nucleotide long non-coding RNA. RefSeq lists it as uncharacterized. Lineage: Eukaryota; Metazoa; Chordata; Actinopteri; Perciformes; Eleginopidae. The record is from RefSeq and is a predicted model, not a curated record. The transcript has 3 exons.
AGAGCUCCUGCAGAUGAUGUCAUAUAUGCUGGUCACGUGACGAGAUACGACAGGGGCAGCCAUUUUGGCAGUCAUCGCGGCAGUAAAUUGACAGGCACUGGCAGACUGUCAAGGAUGGUGGAUAACUGCUGUGCACCAGGUUGCACAAAUAGGCGUGGGAAAAAGAAAGGUGUAUCGUAUUAUCGCAUUCCUAAAGACGCGGAGAGGAGGGAGAAGUGGAUUGGAGCGAUUAAAAGAGCCAGGAGCCUUCAGAAAAAGACUGAAAGAUGGGACCCCCCGGCCGUUGGCUUUCGCUUAUGCAGUGAUCACUUCAUAUCAGGGAGAAAGAGUGAUAAUCCGUUGAGUCCGGAUUUUAUCCCCUCAAUUUUCGAUUACCUUCCAUCUCCAGAGAAGAGGAGACAUAAAACGAGACUGGAGGUUUUUAACAGAAGGCAGAAGGCUAAACUGCACAAAGUAGAGCAGGCAAAGAUAUCUGCAGAAGCCAUCCGUCAAAGGACAUCAACUGAUGCAGCCCCAGAAGACCAUAUCACAGAGCCUUUGAAGGAGCCCCCCAUCACAGAUCCGUUGGAAGACUCAGCCGAUGAUCCUGUCCAGCCUGAACCAGUAACACCACCAUGCACCUCUGAAACCUGCUGUACCCGCAUCCAGAGUCUUGAGCAAGAAUGCCAAGCUCUAAGGGCUGAAAAUGUGUUGUUAAGGGAAAAGAUUAAUAGGAAGACCCUGACAGAGAUUAGUUUAAAUAACAAUGAUAAAAAGGUGAAUGUCCUCACUGGGCUGGCAACCUAUGCAUGUCUCAUGACCAUUUUUCAAUAUCUGGCUCCAUUUCUCAAAGUUAAAUCAUCAAUAACAUGUUUUCAACAAUACAUGUUGACUUUGAUGAAGCUUCGAAUGAACUUAACAUUUGACUUUUUGGGUUUUUAUUUUGGCAUCGACCCAACUACUGUCUCCAGGCACUUCAAAAACUGUGUUAAAAGAUGGGGGCGCAGAGGUACCCUUGGUGGAAUUCCCCUUUUUAUUUUGUUGAGUAUGGUUGAAUAUGAUGUCCUUGCCCUGCAGGUACUCCACAUUCUUCGCAGCAUCCUCACUGGGAGAGGCCCACUUGCAUUUUUUGGAUGUGCAGCUGAUCUCCUCGUGCCUUGCGUUGUUUUUUCCCCACAGACUGAAGAGAACAGCUGACACAUGAGAGCAGCUCUCCCCGAGUCCCGCUGUGCAGUUGCAGUGGGCUCCCAGCACAACACCGUCGUUCCUCACCACCACCCAUGGCUUUAGUUGACUUUCAUUAAGCCUUUGGGAGUGAUUAACCUAUAUGAAAUUCCAAAACAGAUAAAUAAAGGUAAAAAACGCCAGCCACUUUGGUUGAGUACGAUCAAAAAUACAAACUAGCAAGUUACAGAUGCACUGCAGUAGCUAUCCAAGCUAAAAAACAUGCUAACGUGACACUUCCGUAGCUAGCCAAGCUAAUAAACAAACAAUGCUAACGUGACACUGCCUAUCAAACUGGAAUAAUUUAAUACUUACCCUUGCAGUGAUGAUGCCGAAGUUUUUGGAUGUAAGACUCCACAGUUGAAUGUUGUUUACGAAGCCGGACUGACACCAUUUGUAAGCCUCCAAGCUUUUGUACGCUCUGAGGGAGUCUCCUGAGUACACUGAUGGAAAGCUUACAAGAUAGCUGUGGAUGUCUGCGUAGCGCAAGUCGGGUACAUCGUCUUCAGAGCAGGAGGUUAUGCUCUUGAAAAGCACACCGGGUGAAUUAUAUGGGUCGCUUAUAUUUAAUCUCUCUAAUUUUGUACUAUAAAGCCGAAUUUCACUUGAAUUAAAAUGAGAAGUAUACUCGCUCGGUAAGAAAACACUGGCACCGGUGGUCAUGUUGACUGCCAAAA